This 389-nucleotide ribosomal RNA is filed under the name uncultured bacterium. RNAcentral's name for it is "bacterial SSU rRNA". It matches the Rfam family "Bacterial small subunit ribosomal RNA", at positions 83 to 507 of the family's 1533-position model. The record is from RNAcentral.
GGGGGUACACGAGCGGCGGACGGGUGAGUAACGCGUGGGAAUCUACCCCAAACUGAGGGAUAAGCAUUGGAAACGAUGUCUAAUACCGCAUAUGGUCUUCGGAUUAAAGCUUCGGCGGUUUGGGAAGAGCCCGCGUAAGAUUAGCUAGUUGGUGAGGUAAAGGCUCACCAAGGCGACGAUCUUUAACUGGUUUGAGAGGAUGAUCAGUCACACUGGAACUGAGACACGGUCCAGACUCCUACGGGAGGCAGCAGUUAGGAAUUUUCCACAAUGGGCGAAAGCCUGAUGGAGCAAUGCCGCGUGCAGGAUGAAGGCCCUAGGGUUGUAAACUGCUUUUAUACGUGAAGAAUAUGACGGUAACGUAUGAAUAAGGAUCGGCUAACUCCGUG